This 620-nucleotide ribosomal RNA is filed under the name uncultured bacterium. Its description in RNAcentral is "bacterial SSU rRNA". It matches the Rfam family "Bacterial small subunit ribosomal RNA", at positions 338 to 950 of the family's 1533-position model. The record is from RNAcentral.
CCUACGGGAGGCAGCAGUGGGGAAUUUUGGACAAUGGGCGCAAGCCUGAUCCAGCAAUGCCGCGUGCAGGAUGAAGGCCUUCGGGUUGUAAACUGCUUUUGUACGGAGCGAAACGGUCUGCUUUAAUACAGUAGGCUAAUGACGGUACCGUAAGAAUAAGCACCGGCUAACUACGUGCCAGCAGCCGCGGUAAUACGUAGGGUGCGAGCGUUAAUCGGAAUUACUGGGCGUAAAGCGUGCGCAGGCGGUUAUAUAAGACAGAUGUGAAAUCCCCGGGCUCAACCUGGGACCUGCAUUUGUGACUGUAUAGCUAGAGUACGGUAGAGGGGGAUGGAAUUCCGCGUGUAGCAGUGAAAUGCGUAGAUAUGCGGAGGAACACCGAUGGCGAAGGCAAUCCCCUGGACCUGUACUGACGCUCAUGCACGAAAGCGUGGGGAGCAAACAGGAUUAGAUAUCCUGGUAGUCCACGCCCUAAACGAUGUCAACUGGUUGUUGGGUCUUCACUGACUCAGUAACGAAGCUAACGCGUGAAGUUGACCGCCUGGGGAGUACGGCCGCAAGGUUGAAACGUCAAAGGAAUGACGGCGNGAGAGNGCGAGGACGACGACGAGGGGAGGAGG